AACUUACAACAAUGGAUCUCUUGGCUCUCGCAGCGAUGAAGAACGCACCGAAAUGCGAUAAGUAAUGUGAAUUGCAGAAUUCAGUGAAUCAUCGAAUCUUUGAACGCACCUUGCGCUCCUUGGUAUUCCUAGGAGCAUGCCUGUUUGAGUGUCAUGAAAUUCUCAACCUUUCUGGCUUUUGCUAGUCAGGCUUGGAUUAUGGGAGCUGCUGGCUUUUGAAGUCGGCUCUUCUAAAAUGUAUUAGCAAGAUCAUUGCUGCUUAUCAUUGGUAUGAUAAUUAUCUAUAUCAUUGAGAGUCAGUUUCCUUUAUUGGAAGAUUUUGCUCCUAACGGUCUUUAGCAAGACAACAUUUGACAAUUUUGACCUCAAAUCAGGUAGGACUACCCGCUGAACUUAAGCAUAUCAAUAAGCGGAGGCU
RNAcentral lists this unclassified non-coding RNA (418 nucleotides) under uncultured Entoloma. RNAcentral describes it as "sequence contains ITS2". The stretch from base 1 to 154 matches the Rfam family "5.8S ribosomal RNA". The record is from RNAcentral. Lineage: Eukaryota; Fungi; Basidiomycota; Agaricomycetes; Agaricales; Entolomataceae.